Paramuricea clavata is the source of this 1459-nucleotide non-coding RNA. The record is from the annotation of a GenBank genome assembly. NCBI's taxonomy places the organism in Eukaryota, Metazoa, Cnidaria, Anthozoa, Malacalcyonacea, Plexauridae.
AAUUAAUAUACAUUUAUUUUUAACAAAUGUGUGUAUGUUAUUAAUAAAAAAUAUUAUAGAUACGAAUAAUUAAGCUUGAAUUAUAAAUUAAUCUAACUUUUCUAUGCAAAUAUUUUACUGAGGUCUAGCCCAAACGUCGCGCUUGUAAUGAUAUUAGAGAGGUUAAGAUACCACGGUUCCGGUUCACGGGUACGAGUAUCGCCAUUUUGUUUACCAAUUUUUGCUGUCAUCAUUUUUACCCGUAAUUUAGUACCCGUUUCCCCGCGGUAAACCAUGGUCUACACGUAAAAGACAAACGGGUACGGUGUUUUCCGUUUACUAUUUGUUGGUCGUUUAAAUAGUAAAAAGCGUCAACAUCUUACCCAAAUAAAUAAUUAGGGAUGUGCCGGAUACUGUCUUGCCGGAUACUGUUUUGCCGGAUAGUAGUCUACCGGAUACCGGUCAGGAGAAAAUGAUGACCGGAUACCGGAUAAUAACCGGAUACUCCCAUACAAUAAUUUAUUAGAAACACAACAUUUUUGUAACUUAAUUAACUAGUCCAAUGUACCAAUGUGUUCAAUACACAUUUUUUGUCUCUUUGACCUAUUUGUCUUUACCAAGGCCAUAUCUUAUGAUUCACCUUACAUUGUUUACUGCAUGGUAUUCAGUAUAUAAAAUUCACUGCUGUUGGCGAAAGAGCAGUUCACAUCACCAUCACGAAAAAAAAUGUCGUAAUUUCGUCGUAAUGCAGCGCACGCUCAGUAAUUGUUCGUGUUUCACAAUUUUUAAACGCCCAGUAAAUUUUUCCGUUUCAUGGUUGUAACAAAAUAUCUUACAGUACUAUCCGGUAAAUAUCCGGCAAAUUUAUACCGGAUACCGGAUAGUGCCGGAUGUCUAAAUUUUACCGGAUAUCGGAUACCGGUAUCCGGCACAUCCCUAUAAAUAAUGCACAUAUCCUCGUCCAAGUUUUCAACAAUCUAUGGCGAACUUGAACAGCGAAAGUUACCAUUCUCUGACGGUUUUCUCACGGCGGAAUAUCUUGGAUUUCUUAAGUGACAAGUCGUUCCCCGAUUGACGGAUACGUGUAUAGCACCCAUACCCGUAACCGAGGUAUCUUAACUUCUCUAUUAUUUGCUUAUCUGUCGCUAUUUCCCUUUUCAUGUUAUGGAAAAAUCAUUUAUGGUAUUGAUAUUUCAAAAACAAUCUUCAGCGAUGUUUCCUGCCCAACUGUGGCACAGGAUGUUAAAGACACGCAGCUAUAUAGCGCGUAAAGUAUCUGUUCUCUUGUGAAUACAGCUAUGGUAGUAACCGUAGUAUUAAAUUGACACUCAUAACGAUUAGGUAAACGACGGAACCUCGACGUAUAAUUGUCGAAAACUUAACAUAUUAAAUAUUCAACAUACUCUCAAGAAAUUGCCCACUAAUAGCAGUUGUGGAAUAGAUAGUAGCGAGGUUUAGCAAAGACGACGCGACGUCAAAG